UAUAUAUAUAUAGAAGAUAUGUUACAAUUUAAUAUUACUUUGUUAAAGCUGCAGUAUCGUGUUUUUUUCCCCCCUCAGGAGCCUUUUGUUUCUCUUCAAAGUACUGUUCUCUUGAGAAAAAGGCAAUAAAAUAUAUAAGCAUUCAAUAAUUAAUCACUCUGAUUUUUCUUAAUAAGAAUCCUAUGAUCUACUAGCAAUUAGGGACACAUCACUAACAGCCCACAUCAGAAGCAUUUCUAUGGAACAAAAAAUAUUAUAUAUUAAUAAAUAAAAUAGAAAAGGGGGAAGGGGUCAAGAAUAUUCGGAUAAAGUACAGUGUAAAAAUAAUUUUUUUAACUAGAGUGUAGUUGUUCAUUUGUAGAGCAUGCAAUACAUGUGACUUUCUUUUUAGGCUACAAUAUACAAGUAUAGGGAAAUAUCCUAUAUGUUCCCUUUAAAAAUGUGCAGAUACUGCAGCUUUAAAGCCACAUUCUCACUUGGCAAGGAUAAGACCAUUUCCAAAAUAGUGAGAGCCCCCCCAUUUACUCUACAGUUCCAGGCAUUGCUUUCAAAUGUAGUUUUUUUUUUAUUUAUUAUUUUAACCCCCAAAAGGGCUGAAAAUCUACCUGGCCUUUUUUUUCUGUCAUUAAAAGAUUUAAAUGGCUACCUUGGUCUAUUGCAGCUCAUUUUCAAAACAGACUCAAAGGCUUCACUGUUAAUGGUACAUAUUAUUAGACCAACAUAUCUAUAUUGCUUCUGAGGUGGGUGCAUAUAGACUUGUCCAUGCAAGGUAUUUACAUAAAGAAGCAAGAGUGUGUUUGUACCAAUUUAAAAAAAAAACCAGGUGCCUUAUAAAAGAAGACAUGCACUUGACAUAUGCCCCUGUUUUUUUUUUUUUUCUUUUUUGUAACAAUUGCUUUGGGGGUUUAUAAGAAAGAUUAUAACACGCCUCGUUCAUUGUGUACACUGAGAGCCAUGAGAGCACAUCAUGAGCAUUCUAUAUAUUAAGUAUAUAUGUGUGAUAUUAUAUAUAUAUAUAUAUAUAUAUAUAUAUAUAUA
Non-coding RNA from Pelobates cultripes (western spadefoot toad), 1038 nucleotides. The record is from the annotation of a GenBank genome assembly. NCBI's taxonomy places the organism in Eukaryota, Metazoa, Chordata, Amphibia, Anura, Pelobatidae.